This 301-nucleotide ribosomal RNA is filed under the name uncultured bacterium. Its description in RNAcentral is "partial 16S ribosomal RNA". It matches the Rfam family "Bacterial small subunit ribosomal RNA", at positions 509 to 807 of the family's 1533-position model. The record is from RNAcentral.
CAGUCGCCACGGGAAUACGGAGGGUGCAAGCGUUAAUCGGAAUUACUGGGCGUAAAGCGCACGCAGGCGGUCUGACAAGUCAGAUGUGAAAUCCCCGGGCUUAACCUGGGAACUGCAUUUGAAACUGUCAGGCUGGAGUCUUGUAGAGGGGGGUAGAAUUCCAGGUGUAGCGGUGAAAUGCGUAGAUAUAGGAAGGAACACCAGUGGCGAAGGCGACCACCUGGACUGAUACUGACACUGAGGUGCGAAAGCGUGGGGAGCAAACAGGAUUAGAUACCCGCGUAGUCCCUGUCUCUUAUAC